This 1295-nucleotide ribosomal RNA is filed under the name uncultured fungus. RNAcentral describes it as "eukaryotic LSU rRNA". The stretch from base 631 to 1295 matches the Rfam family "Eukaryotic large subunit ribosomal RNA", at positions 1 to 649 of the family's 3401-position model. The record is from RNAcentral. Lineage: Eukaryota; Fungi.
AAGUCGUAACAAGGUUUCCGUAGGUGAACCUGCGGAAGGAUCAUUAAUGAAACUGAAGUCUUCGGACUCAAUCUUCAUUAUUCCACACACACACCUGUGCACCUUUUGAUUCGAGUGCUGGUUAUUAGAGCUUCGGCUUGAAUGCUAGUGCUUGUCUCAAUAAUAUCAACCUUUUAAAACAAUGUUUUCUAGAAUGUAUACUGUCUCGUUGUAAUGGCGAGUACAACCCCUAUAAAACUUUCAACAACGGAUCUCUUGGCUCAGGCAUCGAUGAAGAACGCAGCGAAAUGCGAUAAGUAAUGUGAAUUGCAGAAUCCAGUGAAUCAUCGAAUCUUUGAACGCACCUUGCGCCCUUUGGUAUUCCGAAGGGCACGCCUGUUGGAGUGUCAUGAAUACCUCAACCCUUACCGGUUUUAUCGCUUGUAAGGUGUUGGUUGUGAGCGUUGCCGGUCGCAAGAUCAGCUCGCUUUAAAGUCAUUAGCUGGAUCCACUUUGACCUGGUUCUACUCGGCGUAAUAAGUUAUUAUCGUCGAGGACACCUUCUCUUUUGANGGUGGCCACAGUAAAGNNUGCGAACCGCUUCUAAUACGUCUGCUUAGUCUUUGGGCUAACGCAACACCUUUUUAUCUCUGACCUCCAAUCAGGCGGGACUACCCGCUGAACUUAAGCAUAUCAAUAAGCGGAGGNAAAGAAACUAACNAGGAUUCCCCUAGUAACGGCGAGUGAAGCGGGAAGAGCUCAAAUUUGAAAUCUGNCACCCUUCGGGUGUCCGAGUUGUAAUCUAGAGAGGCGUUUUNCACGCUGGUCCACGUAUAAGUCUCCUGGAACGGAGUGUCAUAGAGGGUGAGAAUCCCGUCCUUUACGUGGGCUACCAGUGUUUUUGUGAUACGCUUUCUAAGAGUCGAGUUGUUUGGGAAUGCAGCUCAAAAUGGGUGGUAAAUUCCAUCUAAAGCUAAAUAUUGGCCUGAGACCGAUAGCGAACAAGUACCGUGAGGGAAAGAUGAAAAGCACUUUGAAAAGAGAGUCAAACAGUACGUGAAAUUGUUGAAAGGGAAACGCUUGAGGUCAGUCGCGCCUUUUGAGACUCAGCCUUCCUUUUGGUUGGUGUACUUCUCAAGAGGCGGGUCAACAUCAGUUUCGACCGGUGGAUAAAGGCGGGAGGAAUGUGGCUUCCUCGGAAGUGUUAUAGCCUCCCGUUGGAUACAUCGGUUGGGACUGAGGAACGCAGCACGCCGCAAGGCAGCCCCUCGGGGACUUUCGUGCUUAGGAUGUUGACAUAAUGGCCUUAAGCGACC